Long non-coding RNA from Rosa rugosa (rugosa rose), 1036 nucleotides. RefSeq lists it as uncharacterized. The record is from RefSeq and is a predicted model, not a curated record. NCBI's taxonomy places the organism in Eukaryota, Viridiplantae, Streptophyta, Magnoliopsida, Rosales, Rosaceae. The transcript has 3 exons.
UUCUUCUUUCUCUCUCUCGCUCGACCGAAACCGAAAACAGAGCAAAGGCUCUUCGGUCUCUCUCUACCUCCACCGGCCACCAAACGGCGUCGAACCACUUCCUUUUGCUUCGUCUCAGCCUUGCGCAGCUGCCAGAGGCAGCCUUGCACCGUGACACGGCCACCAGCGGCGGCGGGAAGCUCCGCCCGGUUUGAGCUCGUUUUGGAAACAAGCUUGAUAUCUCAAGCUACCGGUCACCAAUCCUCACCAAAAUCCAUCCACAAGCUCGCCUCAACUUCCUGAAAACUCCCAGAAGCAGCCUCACACGGCGGCGUGGCCCGUAGCAGUGGCUGCAAGUCAAACCCAACCAAGAACGAGACCGGAGCUAUCGAUCAAGAUAUCUCGAGCUGUAGUGCAUCGUUUUGAUUGAUUCUUUUUCCAGUGGGUUCCCCUUGAUGUUAUUAACAACUCUCUAGAAGGCAUCGAGGCCUGAAAUUGAAGCUUUGACGUCGAAAUCGAGCCUUGCCGGAUUCUGCAAAAUUCUGGAAUUUUUCCGACCACCGAAGCUUUCGAUCGGUAUAUCUCGAGCUACAGACCAUAUUUUUCUGUGAUUCUUGAACCAGUGAGUUCUUCUUGAGUUUCUUAACAACUCUUCAGAAGAAAUCGAAGCCUUAAAUUGACGUUUUUACGUCGAAUUGGAGCUCGCCGUUUUCUGCAGUUUCUCGCCGGUUUCUGGAAAAUUCCGGCCACCUUCAUACUGUUCAAGGUGAUCGACGGUUUGAUUUGGCGGACGAUUCGUGAAAUUGUAUUUUGAGCUGUUAAGAAGACGCAGCGGGAAUUUAGAGCGGGUAAUCCUACAGGACAGGAGAACCAGGACGGUGAUCGUGCGGUUAGAGCAAUGGUUAUAGUUUUACAGCAAUUGUAAUAGUGAGGCGAGUUAAGCUCAUUUGAGCAUUACAAUUUGAUUUGGUGGGAGUGUGCUGUAAUAAAUAACUUGAGGAUUUGGGUUAUUGUAAAUUUGAGAGUUGUGAAGUGUGGUUGUUUGUGAGAAAAAAAU